AACGAACGCUGGCGGCAGGCUUAACACAUGCAAGUCGAGCGCAUCCUUCGGGGUGAGCGGCAGACGGGUGAGUAACGCGUGGGGAUGUGCCUUGAGGUGGGGAAUAACUGUGGGAAACUACAGCUAAUACCGCAUAAGCCCUUCGGGGGAAAGAUUUAUCGCCUUUAGAGCAACCCGCGUCAGAUUAGCUAGUUGGUAGGGUAAUGGCCUACCAAGGCGACGAUCUGUAGCUGGUCUGAGAGGAUGACCAGCCACACUGGGACUGAGACACGGCCCAGACUCCUACGGGAGGCAGCAGUGGGGAAUAUUGGACAAUGGGCGCAAGCCUGAUCCAGCCAUGCCGCGUGAGUGAUGACGGCCUUAGGGUUGUAAAGCUCUUUUAACAGGGACGAUAAUG
Molecule: ribosomal RNA, 397 nt
Filed under: Labrys sp. (in: a-proteobacteria)
Lineage: Bacteria; Pseudomonadati; Pseudomonadota; Alphaproteobacteria; Hyphomicrobiales; Xanthobacteraceae
Description: bacterial SSU rRNA
Rfam family: Bacterial small subunit ribosomal RNA
Source: RNAcentral